AUCCCAUGAUGAGGACACUUACGAAGUAAUUCCUUGAAUCUUUCCCAUAUCUCAUAUAAGGACUUGUCAUCCAAUUGUGAAAAAGUGGUUAUCUUAUUUCACAACUU
This 107-nucleotide small nucleolar RNA is filed under the name Gossypium arboreum. Its description in RNAcentral is "Plant small nucleolar RNA R71". It matches the Rfam family "Plant small nucleolar RNA R71". Rfam says of the family: R71 is a member of the C/D box family of snoRNAs containing the C (UGAUGA) and D (CUGA) box motifs. Multiple nearly identical copies of this snoRNA have been identified in Arabidopsis, and it is thought to function as a 2'-O-ribose methylation guide for 18S ribosomal RNA. Lineage: Eukaryota; Viridiplantae; Streptophyta; Magnoliopsida; Malvales; Malvaceae. The record is from Rfam by way of RNAcentral.